AGGAAGGAAGUGAGUCAGAGUCGGAAGGGCCCGUGGGAAAGCUCAAAAGCUGGAGCUCGGGGUCGGGGUUUCAGCCCCUCCUUUGGCAUCCCUGCAAGCGCCGACCCCACGUAAGGAGGAAGCUGACGGAGCCGCAGGUGCUCGAGUGGGUUGUAAAGCAAUCAGGUGUCUGGCAGCAGAUGACGGGCUAGAGCUGCAUCGGGGCGGGCGGUGUGGCAUAACGCCGGAUCUGUCCUAGGCUGUGCCGGAGCGGGGACCUCAUCAGACAGAGUGCCGUGUCCAGUUGGGGCCCCGCAGCAGCCGGCGAGGGAGAGCGGGGCUCGUCCCUGCAACAGCAACCGAAACGCUCCACCUGGAGGUGAAAGCAAAUUAUAACGGGGGCUUUGUGGCCAGCUGGUGUUUUCAGAUCAGAAGCUGGACCAUAAAAAAAAAAAAAACGAAGGGCAGAUAUGCACGUCGUGUCAACCUGAAAAUGGAGCUCUGUUAAGGCAAAGGAGCUGUGAUGGGAAAGAAAGCUCUACCACCAUGAGCUCGCUCAGAUUUUGAGGCCAAAAGUG
RNAcentral lists this long non-coding RNA (557 nucleotides) under Anser brachyrhynchus (Pink-footed goose). RNAcentral describes it as "lncRNA (ENSABRG00000021524.1)". Lineage: Eukaryota; Metazoa; Chordata; Aves; Anseriformes; Anatidae. The record is from RNAcentral.